CAGGAAACAGCAGCUCUGCGGACGCCCUGAGGGAGAGGAAGAAGCAGGAUCUGACUGGAGCAGAGAACUGCUGCAAUGGACCUGAGUUCGGCACUUGGAAGCUUUCUGUUUUUCCUCUGGAUGUCAGGGAUCUGCACAGGAGAGAGUUGUACUGACUUCAAGCCUGAAAGUGAGGUUUUCUCUGUUCCUGAGGAGGUGGCCAUGCUGGAGAGCUCCCUGCUCUCUUUAAGGGUCCUAAAUUUCAGGGCGGUCCCAUACAACAUCACUUGGAUGAACUCAAAGACAGGACAGGAAAUGAGCAACAAAACCGGUCAGAUUCUGGUACUCGGCGCAACUUUGUGGUUCCUGAACACAACACUGGAUGAUGCUGGAGAAUAUGUGAUCAU
Molecule: long non-coding RNA, 386 nt
Organism: Austrofundulus limnaeus
Lineage: Eukaryota; Metazoa; Chordata; Actinopteri; Cyprinodontiformes; Rivulidae
Exons: 3
Source: RefSeq, a predicted model, not a curated record